RNAcentral lists this ribosomal RNA (520 nucleotides) under uncultured Glomus. RNAcentral's name for it is "SSU rRNA". It matches the Rfam family "Eukaryotic small subunit ribosomal RNA", at positions 569 to 1081 of the family's 1831-position model. The record is from RNAcentral. Lineage: Eukaryota; Fungi; Glomeromycota; Glomeromycetes; Glomerales; Glomeraceae.
AGCAGCCGCGGUAAUUCCAGCUCCAAUAGCGUAUAUUAAAGUUGUUGCAGUUAAAAAGCUCGUAGUUGAAUUUCGGGGUUAGCAGGUCGGUCGUGCCAUCGGUAUGAACUGGUCUCGCUGAUCCCUCCCCUCUUGAAGAACUGUGAUGCCAUUUAAUUUGGUGUCGCGAGGGAAUCAGGACUUGUUACUUUAGAAAAAUUAGAGUUAGUUUAAAGCAGGCUCACGCUUAGAAUACAUUAGCAUGGAAUAAUGAAAUAGGACGUUUGAUCCUAUUUUGUUGGUUUCUAGGAUUGACGUAAUGAUUAAUAGGGAUAGUUGGGGGCAUUAGUAUUCAAUUGUCAGAGGUGAAAUUCUUGGAUUUAUUGAAGACUAACUACUGCGAAAGCAUUUGCCAAGGAUGUUUUCAUUAAUCAAGAACGAAAGUUAGGGGAUCGAAGACGAUCAGAUACCGUCGUAGUCUUAACCAUAAACUAUGCCGACUAGGGAUCGGAUGAUGUUUAAUUUUUUAAUGUACUCAUUC